This 671-nucleotide ribosomal RNA is filed under the name Hyphomonas polymorpha. RNAcentral's name for it is "bacterial SSU rRNA". It matches the Rfam family "Bacterial small subunit ribosomal RNA", at positions 28 to 755 of the family's 1533-position model. Lineage: Bacteria; Pseudomonadati; Pseudomonadota; Alphaproteobacteria; Hyphomonadales; Hyphomonadaceae. The record is from RNAcentral.
AACGAACGCUGGCGGCAGGCCUAACACAUGCAAGUCGAACGAUAUAGUGGCAGACGGGUGAGUAACGCGUGGGAACGUACCUUUCACUACGGAAUAGCUCUGGGAAACUGGUGGUAAUACCGUAUACGCCCUCCGGGGGAAAGAUUUAUCGGUGAAAGAUCGGCCCGCGUUGGAUUAGCUAGUUGGUGAGGUAAUGGCUCACAAAGGCGACGAUCCAUAGCUGGUCUGAGAGGAUGAUCAGCCACACUGGGACUGAGACACGGCCCAGACUCCUACGGGAGGCAGCAGUGGGGAAUCUUGCACAAUGGGCGAAAGCCUGAUGCAGCCAUGCCGCGUGAAUGAUGAAGGCCUUAGGGUUGUAAAAUUCUUUCGUCAGGGAUGAUAAUGACCGUACCUGAAGAAGAAGCCCCGGCUAACUUCGUGCCAGCAGCCGCGGUAAUACGAAGGGGGCUAGCGUUGUUCGGAAUUACUGGGCGUAAAGCGCACGUAGGCGGACUUUUAAGUCAGGUGUGAAAUCCCGGGGCUCAACCUCGGAACUGCAUUUGAAACUGGAAGUCUUGAGAUCAGGAGAGGUUAGCGGAAUACCGAGUGUAGAGGUGAAAUUCGUAGAUAUUCGGUGGAACACCAGUGGCGAAGGCGGCUAACUGGACUGAUACUGACGCUGAGGUGCG